GGACCCCUUGCCCAGCGCGGCAUUCAGAGGGGGCAGCUCCGGCCGUCUGCUCAGGAGUGGGGUGGCAUGGAGAGCUGCCUCUGGAGCCCUGUGCUGAAGGAGAGGACCCUUGAGGGAGAAGGACAUCACCCAGGUCGUGGGGCCUUUGGAGAAAGUAGGAAACCUGCCUGUUCUACAGGAGAUGAGACCACCUCACCUACUUCGAAGGAUGCCCUUGUUUAGAGCAGAUCUCACAAUUGGUGCCCUGAGGGCUCCAGGCCUUGGCCCUGCUGGUAGAUUAAAGUGGCACAACCUGCCCUGAUGCCUGAGUGUCACAGCAACAACAGCUACAUGGCUAGACACCGGCCCCUUCACCCCACCUUCCAGGGGAGCACAGCUCCCCAGAUAUGGUGCUGAGGGAGGUCAGUGGGAUGGCCCCACCAUGGCCUCCCUGCAGACUGCUCUGCACUGAGGACUGUCCCCAUCCCCUUCCGAGGAGGGUCUCAACUGGUGUCCCAGAGAGUGCAGUCAACUCCCUGUUACUCCCAGAAGCAGGGCCUGGGGGCCAUGCUCAGGACUGGGAAAGAGGAAGGCAGUGCCUGGCAAGGUCACUCCCUUGGUGGGGAGAAGGGCCUGCCACCACCCAAUCCCCACCUUCUCUGUUUUAAUUCAAGAUGCACGGGGCUGGGUGGGGGGAGGGGUGAAGGCAGGCCCAGGUGCAGACUUUCUGCAUCACUGCAUCUAGUGGAAAGAAGCUGUUGGUCUGCUUCUGGACCCUCGUGUCCUGGGACUUGGGUCUCUAUGUUCCUUACAGGCAGGAACUGCUCUACGGCUCUAUCUCUAGUCCAGACACAGGCCUAACAGAGCAUGUGCUCAGAAAGUAUCUUUUGGGGCCGGGCGCGGUGGCUCAAGCCUGUAAUCCCAGCACUUUGGGAGGCCGAGACGGGCGGAUCACGAGGUCAGGAGAUCGAGACCAUCCUGGCUAACACGGUGAAACCCCGUCUCUACUAAAAAAUACAAAAACUAGCCGGGCGGUGGCGAGCUGUAGUCCCAGCUACUCGGGAGGCUGAGGCAGGAGAAUGGUAAACCGGAGGCGAGGCUUGCAGUGAGCCGAGAUCGCGCCACUGCACUCCAGCCUGGGUGACAGAGCCAGACUCCGUCUCAAAAAAAAAAAAAAAGAAAAAAAAAG
This 1168-nucleotide long non-coding RNA is filed under the name Macaca fascicularis (crab-eating macaque). Its description in RNAcentral is "lncRNA (ENSMFAG00000057366.1)". Lineage: Eukaryota; Metazoa; Chordata; Mammalia; Primates; Cercopithecidae. The record is from RNAcentral.